AAAGUCCGUAACAAGGUUUCCGUAGGUGAACCUGCGGAAGGAUCAUUACCGAGUGCGGGCCCCUCGGGGCCCAACCUCCCACCCGUGUUGCCCGAACCUAUGUUGCCUCGGCGGGCCCCGCGCCCGCCGACGGCCCCCCUGAACGCUGUCUGAAGUUGCAGUCUGAGACCUAUAACGAAAUUAGUUAAAACUUUCAACAACGGAUCUCUUGGUUCCGGCAUCGAUGAAGAACGCAGCGAAAUGCGAUAACUAAUGUGAAUUGCAGAAUUCAGUGAAUCAUCGAGUCUUUGAACGCACAUUGCGCCCUCUGGUAUUCCGGAGGGCAUGCCUGUCCGAGCGUCAUUGCUGCCCUCAAGCCCGGCUUGUGUGUUGGGCCCCGUCCCCCCCGCCGGGGGGACGGGCCCGAAAGGCAGCGGCGGCACCGCGUCCGGUCCUCGAGCGUAUGGGGCUUCGUCACCCGCUCUAGUAGGCCCGGCCGGCGCCAGCCGACCCCCAACCUUUAAUUAUCUCAGGUUGACCUCGGAUCAGGUAGGGAUACCCGCUGAACUUAAGCAUAUCAAUAA
This 563-nucleotide ribosomal RNA is filed under the name Penicillium citrinum. Its description in RNAcentral is "eukaryotic LSU rRNA". The stretch from base 189 to 342 matches the Rfam family "5.8S ribosomal RNA". Lineage: Eukaryota; Fungi; Ascomycota; Eurotiomycetes; Eurotiales; Aspergillaceae. The record is from RNAcentral.